This 891-nucleotide ribosomal RNA is filed under the name Peptostreptococcus anaerobius. RNAcentral's name for it is "bacterial SSU rRNA". It matches the Rfam family "Bacterial small subunit ribosomal RNA". The record is from RNAcentral. Lineage: Bacteria; Bacillati; Bacillota; Clostridia; Peptostreptococcales; Peptostreptococcaceae.
GACGAACGCUGGCGGCGUGCCUAAUACAUGCAAGUAGAACGCUGAAGAGAGGAGCUUGCUCUUCUUGGAUGAGUUGCGAACGGGUGAGUAACGCGUAGGUAACCUGCCUGGUAGCGGGGGAUAACUAUUGGAAACGAUAGCUAAUACCGCAUAAAAUUAAUUAUUGCAUGAUAAUUAAUUGAAAGAUGCAAUUGCAUCACUACCAGAUGGACCUGCGUUGUAUUAGCUAGUUGGUGAGGUAACGGCUCACCAAGGCGACGAUACAUAGCCGACCUGAGAGGGUGAUCGGCCACAUUGGAACUGAGACACGGUCCAAACUCCUACGGGAGGCAGCAGUAGGGAAUAUUGCGCAAUGGGGGAAACCCUGACGCAGCAACGCCUCGUGGAGGAUGACACUUUUCGGAGCGUAAACUCCUUUUGUUAGGAAAGAAUAAUGACGGUACCUAACGAAUAAGCACCGGCUAACUCCGUGCCAGCAGCCGCGGUAAUACGGAUGGUGCAAGCGUUACUCGUAAUCACUGGGCGUAAAGGACGCGUAGGCGGAUUAUCAAGUCUCUUGUGAAAUCUAACGGCUCAUCCGUUAAACUGCUUGGGAAAACUGUUAAUCUAGAGUAAGGGAUAGGCAGAUUGGAAUUCUUGGUGUAUGGGUAAAAUCCGUUGAUUUCAAGAAUAAUACUUAGUGUUAAUGUGUAUUUGCUGGAAUUUAACUGACUCUAUUGUGUUGAAAUCGUGUGUGAGCAAAUAGGAGUAGAACCUCUGUGUUGUCCAGGGUUGAUGUUUCAGUGGAUAUUUAUCUUGUUGAUACUUCUACUUCUGUGGUGGUCCUGGUUCACAAUUAUUAUUUUUUUUUUGUGAUUAUGUAUUGUUGUCUUCUAUCUCCCCCUUCCUCUG